GACGAACGCUGGCGGCGUGCUUAACACAUGCAAGUCGAACGGAAAGGCCCCUUUGGGGGUACUCGAGUGGCGAACGGGUGAGUAACACGUGAGUAACCUGCCCUUGACUUCGGGAUAACUUCAGGAAACUGGGGCUAAUACCGGCUAGGAAUCCUUGCUGCAUGGUGGGGGUUGGAAAGCUUCGGCGGUUUUGGAUGGACUCGCGGCUUAUCAGCUUGUUGGUGGGGUAGUGGCUUACCAAGGCUUUGACGGGUAGCCGGCCUGAGAGGGCGACCGGCCACAUUGGGACUGAGAUACGGCCCAGACUCCUACGGGAGGCAGCAGUGGGGAAUAUUGCACAAUGGGCGGAAGCCUGAUGCAGCAACGCCGCGUGCGGGAUGACGGCCUUCGGGUUGGAAACCGCUUUCAGCAGGGGCGAAGCUUGUGGUGACGGUACCUGCAGAAGAAGCACCGGCUAACUACGUG
RNAcentral lists this ribosomal RNA (465 nucleotides) under uncultured bacterium. RNAcentral's name for it is "partial 16S ribosomal RNA". It matches the Rfam family "Bacterial small subunit ribosomal RNA", at positions 28 to 507 of the family's 1533-position model. The record is from RNAcentral.